AAUUCGAUGCGACGCGAAGAACCUUACCUGGGCUUGACAUGCAGGGUGAAACCCGUGAAAGCGGGUGCUCCACGGAGCCUGCACAGGUGGUGCAUGGCUGUCGUCAGCUCGUGCCGUGAGGUGUUGCCUUAAGUGGCGCAACGAGCGCAACCCUUGUCCCUAGUUGCCAGCGGAUCAUGCCGGGAACUCUAGGGAGACUGCCGGUGCCAAACCGGAGGAAGGUGGGGAUGACGUCAAGUCAUCAUGCCCCUUAUGUCCAGGGCUGCACGCAUGCUACAAUGCGCGGUACAAAGGGCUGCGAUCCCGUAAGGGGGAGCGAAUCCCAAAAAGCCGCGCUCAGUUCGGAUCGGGGUCUGCAACCCGACCCCGUGAAGUCGGAGUCGCUAGUAAUCGCAGAUCAGCAA
This 404-nucleotide ribosomal RNA is filed under the name uncultured Actinomycetes bacterium. Its description in RNAcentral is "bacterial SSU rRNA". It matches the Rfam family "Bacterial small subunit ribosomal RNA", at positions 948 to 1355 of the family's 1533-position model. The record is from RNAcentral. Lineage: Bacteria; Bacillati; Actinomycetota; Actinomycetes.